AAGGAUGACUGAGAGUUCAGGGAACCCAGAGGGAAAAUCCAAGAACCCCAAAGAAUCACAGAUUAAGGAACUAUGUCUAUGGGGUAGAACCAGGCUCUAACUGAGGAACUCUUCCUGGUCCCAAGAAGCCGAGGAUGGCAGUGGAUUGUGUACAGGUCACUGGAUUAACAAGUAUAUUUAAGGGGCUGCACCUGGACACUACAUUCAGUGGGCCUCAUCUGCAUCUGGAACUGGAUUUAGAGAAUGAGGUCCAGAACUCUGAGCCUAAAACAGAUACUGUCAUUGACUGAAAUUUUACAGACCUGAAAGGAAUCGUCAGAUAACCAGGAAGCAAAGAAAUACAGCCAAGCCUCCUGGUGGAUGAGAAGUCACAUGAAGUAAAACUGAGACACCCAUGCAGAGAGCAAGCACCAAGACUUCAGAUAUGAGAGUGGGGACAUCUUGAACCUUCUAUCACUGCCCAUGUACCAGAUGACUGAGGCAAGUUACAUGAAUGAAUAAGCUUCAGUGGGACAAGCAGAAGCAAUGAGUAAAUUGAUAACAUUUUGAGAAUAACAUUGGUGUUUUAAACCAGUAAGUCUGGGAGAGUUUUCUAUGUAGUGAUAGAUGACUAGAAUAUAUUUGAACCUGAUAAAUUGAGAAUAAGUAUUGUAAUCUAAAGGCAGCCAUUAAAGGACACUAAGAAUAUGUAACUACCAACCAGGGUGGAUGAGCUCAGAGCACCAAACAUGUA
RNAcentral lists this long non-coding RNA (733 nucleotides) under Callithrix jacchus (white-tufted-ear marmoset). RNAcentral's name for it is "lncRNA (ENSCJAG00000084755.1)". Lineage: Eukaryota; Metazoa; Chordata; Mammalia; Primates; Cebidae. The record is from RNAcentral.